Molecule: ribosomal RNA, 496 nt
Filed under: uncultured bacterium
Lineage: Bacteria
Description: partial 16S ribosomal RNA
Rfam family: Bacterial small subunit ribosomal RNA
Source: RNAcentral
GAUGAACGCUGGCGGCGUGCCUAAUACAUGCAAGUCGAGCGAACGGACGAGAAGCUUGCUUCUCUGAUGUUAGCGGCGGACGGGUGAGUAACACGUGGAUAACCUACCUAUAAGACUGGGAUAACUUCGGGAAACCGGAGCUAAUACCGGAUGAUAUUUUGAACCGCAUGGUUCAAAAGUGAAAGACGGUCUUGCUGUCACUUAUAGAUGGAUCCGCGCUGCAUUAGCUAGUUGGUAAGGUAACGGCUUACCAAGGCAACGAUGCAUAGCCGACCUGAGAGGGUGAUCGGCCAAACUGGAACUGAGAAACGGUCCAGCCUCCUACGGGAGGCAGCAGUAGGGAAUCUUCCGCAAUGGGCGAAAGCCUGACGGAGCAACGCCGCGUGAGUGAUGAAGGUCUUCGGAUCGUAAAACUCUGUUAUUAGGGAAGAACAUAUGUGUAAGUAACUGUGCACAUCUUGACGGUACCUAAUCAGAAAGCCACGGCUAACUACGU